AAAACGGUAGGUUUGAUUUGAAAAAAAAAUCCAAAUGGUUCUUGAGUUAAAAUCAAACGGUAGGUUUGAUUCUCCAAACUCAAAAUCUUUCAAUCCCCAAAUUCUCUCUUUCUAUCUCUCUCACACUCCUUUGAAACACUAAUUCAGAGAUAGUUUCUUGAUUAGGGUUCUUUGUUAUCACUAUCGCUUCUUUAAUCUUUCAUUAUCACUAAUUCAUAAUCGAUUCAUUCUGCCCAAUUUGUUUUCUCUUUGCGACACUCUUUCCUUCUCCGUCAUUCAUCAUAACGCAACGCUAAAAAAACCUCACAACACGUUCGUGUAACUCGCUCACUCGAUUCGUUCGCGUAACUCGUUCUCUUCGGUUUCGAUUUUUUCAUCAUGCCGAAGGCUAAAGUUGAUUCCAAACCCGCAGGUAAAUCGUUUCUAUCAGUUCUUUCUUCUUUUUCUUUUUUGCGAUUUUCUGAUUUUGAUUUUUAGGUUUUAGAUGAACAAUUUUCAUCAACAAUUUGUAAUGGAUAGUUCGUUCGAUCUGGUUUUUAUUUCGAUUUGAAUCUUGAAUCAAUUUGAUAUAUGAUUUCUUUUUUUUCUUUUUUGUCGGAUAAUAUAUAAUUUGAAUCUUGAAUUAAUUUGAUGUCCA
Molecule: long non-coding RNA, 637 nt
Filed under: Trifolium pratense (red clover)
Lineage: Eukaryota; Viridiplantae; Streptophyta; Magnoliopsida; Fabales; Fabaceae
Description: long non-coding RNA (TPRA_LNC005856)
Source: RNAcentral